RNAcentral lists this ribosomal RNA (449 nucleotides) under bacterium LE2009. RNAcentral's name for it is "bacterial SSU rRNA". It matches the Rfam family "Bacterial small subunit ribosomal RNA", at positions 28 to 459 of the family's 1533-position model. The record is from RNAcentral.
GAUGAACGCUGGCGGCGUGCUUAACACAUGCAAGUCGAACGAAGCAACUUAUCACGAUUCCUUCGGGAUGACGAUUUGUUGACUGAGUGGCGGACGGGUGAGUAACGCGUGGGUAACCUGCCUUAUACAGGGGGAUAGCAGCUGGAAACGGCUGAUAAUACCGCAUAAGCGCACAGUAUCGCAUGAUACAGUGUGAAAAACUCCGGUGGUAUAAGAUGGACCCGCGUCUGAUUAGCUAGUUGGUGGGGCAACGGCCUACCAAGGCGACGAUCAGUAGCCGACCUGAGAGGGUGACCGGCCACAUUGGGACUGAGACACGGCCCAGACUCCUACGGGAGGCAGCAGUGGGGAAUAUUGCACAAUGGAGGAAACUCUGAUGCAGCGACGCCGCGUGAGCGAAGAAGUAUUUCGGUAUGUAAAGCUCUAUCAGCAGGAAGAUAAUGACGUAC